AGUUUGAUCCUGGCUCAGGAUGAACGCUGGCGGCGUGCUUAACCAUGCAAGUCGAACGGGGAUGCCCUUUUCGAGGUGAUUAGUUUACUAAGAGCCAAGAUGUUGGCAUCUUAGUGGCGGACGGGUGAGUAACGCGUGGGUAAUCUGCCUUAUACAGGGGGAUAACACUUAGAAAUAGGUACUAAUACCGCAUAAGCGCACGGGGCUGCAUGGCCCAGUGUGAAAAACUCCGGUGGUAUAAGAUGGACCCCGCGUCUGAUUAGCUUGUUGGCGGGGUAACGGCCCACCAAGGCGACCAUCACCACCCGGCCUGAGAGGGUGGACGGCCACAUUGGGACUGAGACCCGGCCCACACCUCCUACGGGAGGAAGCAGUGGGGAAUAUUGCACAAUGGGGGCAACCCUGAUCCAGCGACGCCGCGUGAUUGAAGAAGUAUUUCUGUAUGUAAAGCUGUCUCAUCAGGGAAGAAAGAAAUGACGGUACCUGACUAAGAAGCCCCGGCUAACUACGUGCCAGCAGCCGCGGUAAUACGUAGGGGGCAAGCGUUAUCCGGAUUUACUGGGUGUAAAGGGAGCGUAGACGGUUACGCAAGUCUGGAGUGAAAGGCGGGGGCCCAACCCCCGGACUGCUUUGGAAACUGUAUAACUGGAGUGCAGGAGAGGUAAGUGGAAUUCCUAGUGUAGCGGUGAAAUGCGUAGAUAUUAGGAGGAACACCAGUGGCGAAGGCGGCUUACUGGACUGUAACUGACGUUGAGGCUCGAAAGCGUGGGGAGCAAACAGGAUUAGAUACCCUGGUAGUCCACGCCGUAAA
This 811-nucleotide ribosomal RNA is filed under the name uncultured bacterium. RNAcentral describes it as "bacterial SSU rRNA". It matches the Rfam family "Bacterial small subunit ribosomal RNA", at positions 10 to 806 of the family's 1533-position model. The record is from RNAcentral.